CAGAGCUAUAAUAACAACAACCACAAAAAAAGCAUGGCAUUCACAUCAAAAUAGACAUAAAGACCAAUAGUAGACCUUAAAUUCAAUACAUUGCUAUACUAACAAACAAAAGCAUGGUAUUCACACCAAAACAGAUAUGAAGAUAAAUGGAAUUGAAUAGAAAACAUAGAGGAAAAACCCACAUAAAUACAGGUAUCUCAUUCUAAACAAAGGCACUAUAAACAUACAUUGGAGGAAAGAUAGUCUCAUCAACAAAUGGUGCUGGGAAAACUGGAAAUCCAUAUGUAGCAGAAUGAAAUUUAAUUAUCAUCAAUCUUAUGAGUAAUGAAUCUUACUUCCCAACUAAAGCUCCUAUUAAUAAACUAAUAAAUCAGAAUACUGUAUCAUCAAAGGAGAUUAUUUUUAUUAUUUGGUUUGGAACCAACAUUGAAGUAAGUGCUUUCAUGCUUAGUCUCAUCUAAUCUUGACUGCAACCUCGUACUGUUUUUAUAUGUCCAUUUUAUAGAUGAGAGGGGGCUGUGGUUUGGAGAGAUUGAAUGGCUUCCUGAAGGUCACACUCCUAGUAAAUAAUGGAAACAAGAUAUGAUUUGGUCAAUGUAAAGGCAAUAUACUCAUCAGAAAAACCCUACAGGCUUUCAGUGCAUAUUGGCAAUCAUUUUGUAAGAAUAUAAAAUAAUUAUUAUUUAUUAUUUGCUUACUCUAUCUGAGCUAUUCUACUAUAGAUUUUUAUGUACUUAUGGGAUUCUUUAUACAGACAUUAUCUAUACUUGCAUAGUUUUAGUGGGUGGGUAUUGUCACCAGUUAAUAGAUAAGGAAUUAAAGGAUGUAGGCUGAGUGUCUUAGUGGGAAAGAUACAGGUGAGUUGUGCUCUUUCAAUUGUCUCUCCUUCCCUCAUAAACAAUAUUUUUAGCAUCUUUCUGCAGGUGGAGGGAGUCCAGAUCUUAUUCUCUAAGCACAUUCUCACUUUCUUCCCCAACUCCUCUUUGAAGCUUUCAGUCCUCAACAUAGAAAUGCCCUCACCCUAGAGUUUCAUGCUUUCCUCCGACUGUCCCACCAGGCAGGCAAUGGGACAUUUAUUUGUACUGGAAGCAAGAAGCUGUUUUGGGCACUGGGGGCACUUGGGGAUACUCUAUGGUGAGCAUAUAAGUGGGUCCUGAAAUAGUGUUGCUUCUGUUCUUAUAAUUGUGAAGUCCAUUUCUUCUGCUUUAGAGUUUAGUCAAAUCUCUAAAAUCUAAAACUGCUCAUGCCUUUUCAUGGUAGAUGCGCACUAUCAAGAUUUGUAUAAGGAAUGAUUGAAGAAACCUAACCCAGAUUAGGCUUGUUUUUCUAUUUCUCUAGAUGGAGUAAUUUAGGUAAUUUCAUUAAAUUGUUACAGGUGCCAUUUUACAGUCUUCUAAUGCAUCAAUGAUAACUGUCUUCUGAGCCCCUCUUAAUGGCUAUUAGGUUAUUUUGUGUAAUUUCCCAGAAUGAGGCUAAUCCUUUAUAUAUAUCAAAAAACUGAAAGAGUGGAUAAUCAAAGAGUGCAUAGAAGAAUGGUGAGUGAAAGGUAAGUAUUGCUGUAAGUUCUUGAAUAUUAGACUUUAAAUAAACUCUCCUUUAAAUUAAAAGAUAUUAUUUUAACCUCCUUCCCUACCUUCAAACUCAUAUGCUUAUAGGACAGAAAGAUAUGAAAAAUGUGUGCUUACUUUGGUGGACACUUCGAGUAGAGGGUAUACAUCUUUCUAAAGCUUCAUAAUUGAAUUUGAUCUCACAGACCAAAAUAUGAUCCACGAAUUAGGGGUUCAGCAGAGAAAUAAUUUGGGGUUCUUGCACACAAUAUCUCCCUCUGAGAGCAUCUCAGGGUGCAUUAAUACAAAUUUAAGUCCAAUAGAAAAGUCAAGAAAGCCACUCAACUCAAAAUUAUCUCAGGUAUAUUUACAAAAUUCCCAUUACCAGCCAUUGAACACACUUAGGAAAAAUGCAAUUUUAGAGUGAUAGAUUUUGAAAAAAACAUUUCCCUUUAUUUGGAUAUAUGCUAUCUGUGAACACAGGCUUGCUAUAUUGUGUCCUACCUAGAUACUACGUCAUGGUUGAGUUGUGGGAUUUCAGACUGGAUCCCAAUUUAAGAUUAAAUCAUUAACAUUAAAAAAAAUUCUUCUAACUAUUGUAGUCAUAUGUAUACCUGUCUCCAAAGGAUUCAUGCAAACCCCUUCAGCCUGUGUCUCUUGUUGACUCUGUUUUCAUAUCCCAUGGUAUGAAAUGAUUUUUUAUUUUAAUUCAUUUGUUUUAAAUUUAUCUGUUUGUGUCUAAGGAGCAUUUUUUUAAAUAAAAUAAACGAGUUGCCUAAAUAAUCUAUCAUUAUUUAAAUUUUCAUUAUGGAAUACAUUUAUUUCUUUUAUUGAUUUUUUGCCUUAUAAGAAAGAUGGAUUAUUAGGCUUUUAUUUAGCUCUUUCCCUUUUACCACCCAGGUAACUUUAGGUGCUGUAUUAGUUUUCCAGAUUUACUAUAGAAGAUCAGUACAAAUAGGGUGGCUUAAAGUAACAGACACUUAUUUUGUCACAGUUCUGGAAUUCAGAAGCCUGAAGUCCAGCUGUUAGCAGAACCAUGCUCCAGCUGAAAACUGAAGAAUCCUUCCUUGCUCCUUCCAGCUUCUGAAGAAAUGAAGAUUGUUAUUUAAUGGAAGGGGAUGAUACUAUCUAUCUCUUGGUGCAGACGUUCAAUCCACUCUCCGUGAUUGACACAACGAUCCAACUUCCAUCGCUCCUAUGAGAGUUUUGCUCCUGGGCAGGCCCUGUCCACGAGGUGGCAUCCUGUGGCUCUAGCCUUCAUUACCCUUAAGAGAAGAUGGCUCCACUCAUGGCUCCUGCAAAAGUCCUGAGGUUGAGUUCUCCUGGACUGAUGUGCAUCAUGUGGACACAUUUGAACCAGUCUUGGUGAUCAGAGGGAUUGAACACACGGGCGGGCCAGGCCUCUGGCGUGUGCCUCACCUUAAAGGCAGGGUGGGUGGGAACAGUCCCAGGAAGAGUUCAUUAGAAUAGGGAAGGAAUGAUUUCUCCAAAAAGGAAGGUGUUAUUAUGAUAAAGAUGGAAGUAACAUGGGCAGGCAAUAGCCAUCCUUAGAGGUAAGUGACAAUGAUUGGUAUUUCAUGAAUGAGAAAACUGAGGCCCAGAGAGCUAAGUAACUCCAGAAGAAGGAAGUGAUAAUUGUGGGGACAAAGCCCUUAACUUAUAGCUCCCGAGAACAUUCUCCCAGACAUCCAUCACAUCCCUGAUCACAGGUGAGAAAGGAGCAUUCCCGUCUCCUUUUAAACCUGUCCACUGCAAAUAGGAGAAAGCAAAAGCAUUAUGCAACUAGAUUUUGUAAACUCCCAGAGGUACUGAAUAUUUUGGCUAGAGAGUUGUUUGUUCACUGGUGUCUAAUGAAUGCACCUUACCUGACAAUGCUGAAACACUAUUUAAAUACAGCAUUUGCAUUUUAUGUGUGCUGAGGAUGCACUGGCGCUAAGCUGAAGAAUUGCUAUCUUAAAAGACUUCCUGGGCUUUUUUCAGUUUUAUCUCUCAAGGUAAAAACGCCUUAACAAAUAGCCUUACUGCUGUUAAGGACAAAUCCCAAGAAUUCUAAGAAACUCUGUUUAGGGAAUGAUCUAAGAGAAAUGAUCACCCUGGAAGCAGGAAAUGGCUUCUGAGAAGAGCCAGCUCAGCACUUGGAGUGAUGAAGACACUUAGGAUUACCUUUCUUCUCUGACUCUCCCAAGCCCUCUCUGUGUUGAAAAAUGAAACUGAAAUGCUAAGCAGAA
Non-coding RNA from Ictidomys tridecemlineatus (thirteen-lined ground squirrel), 3775 nucleotides. The record is from RefSeq and is a predicted model, not a curated record. NCBI's taxonomy places the organism in Eukaryota, Metazoa, Chordata, Mammalia, Rodentia, Sciuridae.